This 253-nucleotide ribosomal RNA is filed under the name uncultured bacterium. RNAcentral describes it as "partial 16S ribosomal RNA". It matches the Rfam family "Bacterial small subunit ribosomal RNA", at positions 524 to 776 of the family's 1533-position model. The record is from RNAcentral.
UACAGAGGGGGCAAGCGUUGUUCGGAAUUACUGGGCGUAAAGGGCGCGUAGGCGGCCGCCUAAGUCAGACGUGAAAUCCCUGGGCUCAACCCAGGAACUGCGUCCGAUACUGGGAGGCUUGAAUCCGGGAGAGGGAUGCGGAAUUCCAGGUGUAGCGGUGAAAUGCGUAGAUAUCUGGAGGAACACCGGUGGCGAAGGCGGCAUCCUGGACCGGCAUUGACGCUGAGGCGCGAAAGCCAGGGGAGCAAACGGG